UAUAAGAGACAGGUGAAUCAUCGAAUCUUUGAACGCACAUUGCGCCCCUUGGUAUUCCAUGGGGCAUGCCUGUUCGAGCGUCAUUUGUACCUUCAAGCUCUGCUUGGUGUUGGGUGUUUGUCCCGCCUUUGUGCGCGGACUCGCCUUAAAGCAAUUGGCAGCCGGCGUAUAGAUUUCGGAGCGCAGCACAAUCCGCGCUUUGUACUCAUUACGACGACAUCCAUCAAGACAUUUUUUAACUCUUGACCUCGGAUCAGGUAGGGAUACCCGCUGAACUUAAGCAUAUCAAUAAGCGGAGGA
This 300-nucleotide unclassified non-coding RNA is filed under the name uncultured Neoascochyta. RNAcentral's name for it is "sequence contains 5.8S rRNA gene, ITS2". The stretch from base 1 to 83 matches the Rfam family "5.8S ribosomal RNA", at positions 72 to 154 of the family's 154-position model. Lineage: Eukaryota; Fungi; Ascomycota; Dothideomycetes; Pleosporales; Didymellaceae. The record is from RNAcentral.